GAUGAACGCUAGCUACAGGCUUAACACAUGCAAGUCGCGGGGCAGCAUGGGGGUUGCUUGCAAUCCCCGAUGGCGACCGGCGCACGGGUGAGUAACGCGUAUCCAACCUGCCCUUCACCACGGGAUAACCCGGCGAAAGUCGGACUAAUACCGUAUGUUGUCCAUUGACGGCACCCGAUUUGGACGAAAGGUUUGGCGGUGAAGGAUGGGGAUGCGUCCGAUUAGCUGGACGGCGGGGUGACGGCCCACCGUGGCGACGAUCGGUAGGGGUUCUGAGAGGAAGGUCCCCCACACUGGAACUGAGACACGGUCCAGACUCCUACGGGAGGCAGCAGUGAGGAAUAGUGGUCAAUGGGCGUAAGCCUGAACCAGCCAAGUAGCGUGCAGGAUGACGGCCCUAUGGGUUGUAAACUGCUUUUAUGCGGGGAUAAAGUGGCCCACGUGUGGGUUUUUGCAGGUACCGCAUGAAUAAGGACCGGCUAAUUCCGUG
This 490-nucleotide ribosomal RNA is filed under the name uncultured bacterium. RNAcentral describes it as "partial 16S ribosomal RNA". It matches the Rfam family "Bacterial small subunit ribosomal RNA", at positions 28 to 507 of the family's 1533-position model. The record is from RNAcentral.